UGGGGAAUCUUGCGCAAUGGGCGAAAGCCUGACGCAGCAACGCCGCGUGUGUGAUGAAGGUCUUCGGAUCGUAAAGCACUGUCGCGAGGGACGAAUAAGGGACGGGCGAACAGUCCGUUUCGAUGACGGUACCUCGAGAGGAAGCACCGGCUAACUCUGUGCCAGCAGCCGCGGUAAUACAGAGGGUGCGAGUGUUGUUCGGAAUUAUUGGGCGUAAAGCGCGUGUAGGCGGCCUAGCAAGUCGGAUGUGAAAGCCCUCGGCUUAACCGGGGAAGUGCGUUCGAAACUACAGGGCUUGAGCACCGGAGAGGGUGGCGGAAUUCCCGGUGUAGAGGUGAAAUUCGUAGAUAUCGAGAGGAACACCAGUGGCGAAGGCGGUCACCUGGACGGAUACUGACGCUGAGACGCGAAAGCGUGGGUAGCAAACA
This 428-nucleotide ribosomal RNA is filed under the name uncultured prokaryote. RNAcentral's name for it is "bacterial SSU rRNA". It matches the Rfam family "Bacterial small subunit ribosomal RNA", at positions 355 to 774 of the family's 1533-position model. The record is from RNAcentral.